GGUUCCAUGGUAGUACGGUUAGCACUCUGACUUCGAACCAGCGAUCCGAGUUCAAAUCUCGGUGGAACCU
Trichonephila inaurata madagascariensis is the source of this 70-nucleotide non-coding RNA. The record is from the annotation of a GenBank genome assembly. Lineage: Eukaryota; Metazoa; Arthropoda; Arachnida; Araneae; Nephilidae.